RNAcentral lists this ribosomal RNA (468 nucleotides) under uncultured bacterium. RNAcentral's name for it is "partial 16S ribosomal RNA". It matches the Rfam family "Bacterial small subunit ribosomal RNA", at positions 28 to 507 of the family's 1533-position model. The record is from RNAcentral.
GACGAACGCUGGCGGCGUGCUUAACACAUGCAAGUCGAACGGAAAGGCCCUGCUUUUGUGGGGUGCUCGAGUGGCGAACGGGUGAGUAACACGUGAGUAACCUGCCCUUGACUUUGGGAUAACUUCAGGAAACUGGGGCGAAUACCGGAUAGGAGCUCCUGCUGCAUGGUGGGGGUUGGAAAGUUUCGGCGGUUGGGGAUGGACUCGCGGCUUAUCAGCUUGUUGGUGGGGUAGUGGCGUACCAAGGCUUUGACGGGUAGCCGGCCUGAGAGGGUGACCGGCCACAUUGGGACUGAGAUACGGCCCAGACUCCUACGGGAGGCAGCAGUGGGGAAUAUUGCACAAUGGGCGGAAGCCUGAUGCAGCAACGCCGCGUGCGGGAUGACGGCCUUCGGGUUGUAAACCGCUUUCGCCUGUGACGAAGCGUGAGUGACGGUAAUGGGUAAAGAAGCACCGGCUAACUACGUG